Molecule: ribosomal RNA, 329 nt
Filed under: uncultured eukaryote
Lineage: Eukaryota
Description: partial 18S ribosomal RNA
Rfam family: Eukaryotic small subunit ribosomal RNA
Source: RNAcentral
CCCUUAGAUGUUCUGGGCCGCACGCGCGCUACACUGAUGCAUUCAACGAGUCUAAAACCUGCUCUGAUAGGGGUGGGUAAUCUUUUGAAUGUGCAUCGUGAUUGGGAUAGAUGAUUGCAAUUUUUCAUCUUCAACGAGGAAUGCCUAGUAAACGCAAGUCAUCAGCUUGCAUUGAUUACGUCCCUGCCCUUUGUACACACCGCCCGUCGCUCCUACCGAUUGAAUGAUCCGAUGAAUAUCAUGGAUUGAGGAUGCAAGUAGGUUAGCCUAUCUUCAUCUUCGAGAAGUGAAGUAAAUCUUAUCGUUUAGAGGAAGGAGAAGUCGUAACA